Molecule: ribosomal RNA, 1066 nt
Filed under: Bacteroidetes bacterium oral taxon 365
Lineage: Bacteria; Pseudomonadati; Bacteroidota
Description: bacterial SSU rRNA
Rfam family: Bacterial small subunit ribosomal RNA
Source: RNAcentral
GAUGAACGCUAGCGGCAGGCCUAACACAUGCAAGUCGAGGGGCAACGAGAUGGUAGCAAUACCAUUGUCGGCGACCGGCGAACGGGUGCGUAACGCGUGAACAACUUGCCGGACACAGGGGGAUAAUCGUCGGAAACGUCGUCUAAUAUCCCAUAACAUUGACAUGGGCCUCCAUGUUGAUUGAAAGCAAUUAUGCGGUGUCUGAUAGGUUCGCGUGACAUUAGCUAGUCGGUGGGGCAACGGCCCACCGAGGCGACGAUGUCUAGGGGUUCUGAGAGGAAGGCCCCCCACACUGGGACUGAGACACGGCCCAGACUCCUACGGGAGGCAGCAGUGAGGGAUAUUGGACAAUGGGCGGAAGCCUGAUCCAGCCAUGCCGCGUGAAGGAAUAAGGUCCUAUGGGUCGUAAACUUCUUUUGACGCAGAGCAAUAAGGGACACGCGUGUUCCGAUGAGACUAUGCGUCGAAUAAGCAUCGGCUAACUCCGUGCCAGCAGCCGCGGUAAUACGGAGGAUGCGAGCGUUAUCCGGAUUUAUUGGGUUUAAAGGGUGCGUAGGCUGUUGGAUAAGUCAGCGGUGAAAUCACCACGCUUAACGUGUAGUGUGCCGUUAGAAACUGUCUGGCUUGAAUGCGCUCGUCGUGAGAGGAAUGUGUGGUGUAGCGGUGAAAUGCAUAGAUAUCACACAGAACACCGAUUGCGAAGGCAUCUCACGAGAGCGUUAUUGACGCUGAUGCACGAGAGCGCGGGUAUCGAACAGGAUUAGAUACCCUGGUAGUCCGCGCUGUAAACGAUGAUGACUAACUGUUGGUUCCAAUGGGAUCAGUGGUCAAGCGAAAGCGUUAAGUCAUCCACCUGGGGAGUACGGCCGCAAAGCUGAGACUCAAAGGAAUUGACGGGGGCCCGCACAAGCGGAGGAUCGUGUGGCUCAAUUCGAUGAUACGCGAGGGAACCUUACCCGGGGCUCGAGCGGCGGAUGAAAUAUGUCUGAGAGAGCAUAGUCGCAAGACACCCGUCGACGUGCUGCAUUGACUGUCGUCAGCUCGUGCAGUGAGGAUGUCGGCUUGA